GGCUUCGGCCGAAACGCGCCAUUUGAAUUUGUGACGAGAAAACCGUACCGGCCCGUACCGUAUACCGACACAGGUAGGUGAGUCGAAUAGACUAAGGAGCGCGAGAGAAAUCUCUCCAAGGAACUCGGCAAAUUAGCCCCGUAACUUCGGGAGAAGGGGUGCCCACUUCGGUGGGCCACAGUAAAUUGGGACUGGCGACUGUUUACCAAAAACACAGCUCUCUGCUAAGUCGUGAAGACGACGUAUAGGGAGUGACACGUGACCAAUGCGGAAAGAUUAAGGUGACUUGUUAGCACUUGAUGCGAAGCUCGGAGCCCAAGUCCCCGUGAAUGUCGGCCGUAACUAUAACGGUCCUAAGGUAGCGAAAUUCCUUGUCGGGUAAGUUCCGACCUGCACGAAUCGUGCAACGACCGGUCCGCUGUCUCGGAGAGAAUCUCGGCGAAGUUGUAAUUGCGGUGAAGAUGCCGCAUACCCGCAGUAGGACGGAAAGACCCUGUGCACCUUUACUGUAAGCAAGUAUUGUGUUCUGAUUAGUGAUACGUAGAGUAGGUGGGAGACUUUGAAGUGAUGGCUUAGGUUGUCAUGGAGUCACAAUGUGAAACACCACUUUUUAUUAAUUAGGAUUCUAACACUGAUUCCUCUGAAGCGAGGCAGUGGACAGUGCUUGCGGGUCAGUUUGACUGGGGCGGUUUCCUCCCAAAGAGUAACGGAGGAGCACUAAGGUACCUUCAGCAUGGUUAGCAACCAUGCGUAGAGCGUAUGCGUAGAAGGGUGCUUGACUGCGAGACCAACAAGUCGAGCAGGUACGAAAGUAGGUGCAAAUGAUCCGGUGGUAGAAAGUGGAAUUGCCAUCGCUCAACGGACAAAAGGUACGCCAGGGAUAACAGGCUGAUCGCGCCCAAGAGUUCAUAUCGACGGCGCGGUUUGGCACCUCGAUGUCGGCUCGUCACAUCCUGGGGCUGAAGAAGGUCCCAAGGGUUCGGCUGUUCGCCGAUUAAAGUGGCACGCGAGCUGGGUUCAGAACGUCGUGAGACAGUUCGGUCCUUAUCCACUGUGGGCGCAGGAAACUUGAGGGGUUCAAUCCCCAGUACGAGAGGACCGGGAUUGACGUACCUAUGGUGUGGCAGUUGUUCCAUCAGGGGCAGCGCUGCGUAGCCAAGUACGGAAGAGAUAAGCGCUGAAAGCAUCUAAGUGCCAAGCUCAUCCCAAGAUGAGGUUUCCCACUCCCCGUGAGUGUAAGACCCCCGGUAGACUACCGGGUUGAUAGGCCAGGAGUGUAAGUGUGGUAACACAUUCAGCUGACUGGUACUAAUCGGUCGAGGGCUUGAUUAC
RNAcentral lists this ribosomal RNA (1332 nucleotides) under marine metagenome. RNAcentral's name for it is "bacterial LSU rRNA". It matches the Rfam family "Bacterial large subunit ribosomal RNA", at positions 1575 to 2925 of the family's 2925-position model. The record is from RNAcentral.